Molecule: ribosomal RNA, 254 nt
Filed under: uncultured bacterium
Lineage: Bacteria
Description: partial 16S ribosomal RNA
Rfam family: Bacterial small subunit ribosomal RNA
Source: RNAcentral
UACGGGGGAUGCAAGCGUUAUCCGGAUUUAUCGGGUUUAAAGGGUGCGUAGGCUGUGAGGUAAGUCAGCGGUGAAAUGCCCCCGCUCAACGGGGUGAAGUGCCAUUGAUACUGCCUUGCUGGAAUUCGGAUGCCGUGGGAGGAAUGUGUGGUGUAGCGGUGAAAUGCAUAGAUAUCACACAGAACACCGAUUGCGAAGGCAUCUCACGAAUCCGCUAUUGACGCUGAUGCACGAAAGCGUGGGUAUCAAACAGG